RNAcentral lists this unclassified non-coding RNA (242 nucleotides) under Coelastrella terrestris. Its description in RNAcentral is "partial internal transcribed spacer 2". Lineage: Eukaryota; Viridiplantae; Chlorophyta; Chlorophyceae; Sphaeropleales; Scenedesmaceae. The record is from RNAcentral.
UACACCCUCACCCCUCCCAACUUGUUGGGUAUGUUUGCUUUUUUUGCAAGCCACAGGGGUGGAUCUGGCUUCCCCAAUCAGCCAUCAGGUAGAUUGGGUUGGCUGAAGUACAGAGGCUUAAGCAAGGACCCGAUAUGGGCUUCAACUGGAUAGGUAGCACCGGCUUUUGCCGACUACACGAAGUUGUUGCUUGUGGAUCUUGCUAGAAGCCAAGCAGGAAUGUGCCUUUGGCAUAUCUUAAC